GUCUACGGCCAUACCACCCUGAACGCGCCCGAUCUCGUCUGAUCUCGGAAGCUAAGCAGGGUCGGGCCUGGUUAGUACUUGGAUGGGAUAUCUUCUGGUACAGAAUGAAUGUUUAAUACA
RNAcentral lists this ribosomal RNA (120 nucleotides) under Castor canadensis (American beaver). The record is from RNAcentral. Lineage: Eukaryota; Metazoa; Chordata; Mammalia; Rodentia; Castoridae.